CAGUAGCCGCGGGAAUACGAAGGUGGCAAGCGUUGUCCGGAAUUAUUGGGCGUAAAGGGCUCGCAGGCGGUUUCUUAAGUCUGAUGUGAAAGCCCCCGGCUCAACCGGGGAGGGUCACUGGAAACUGGGAAACUUGAGUGCAGAAGAGGAGAGUGGAAUUCCACGUGUAGCGGUGAAAUGCGUAGAGAUGUGGAGGAACACCAGUGGCGAAGGCGACUCUCUGGUCUGUAACUGACGCUGAGGAGCGAAAGCGUGGGGAGCGAACAGGAUUAGAUACCCCGGUAGUCCCUGUCUCUUAUAU
This 301-nucleotide ribosomal RNA is filed under the name uncultured bacterium. RNAcentral describes it as "partial 16S ribosomal RNA". It matches the Rfam family "Bacterial small subunit ribosomal RNA", at positions 509 to 809 of the family's 1533-position model. The record is from RNAcentral.